AACUGUCAAUGAUGAUUUUUGUUUAUUAAAACAAUGGGAAUCUCUCUGAAAAAGUGUGAAAGAGGACUUUUUUCUGAUGCAGUG
Small nucleolar RNA from Amphilophus citrinellus (Midas cichlid), 84 nucleotides. Its record names the gene SNORD79. It matches the Rfam family "Small nucleolar RNA SNORD79". From Rfam's summary of the family: snoRNA U79 or Z22 is found in intron 7 of the gas5 gene in humans and is also present in mice. U79 is a member of the C/D class of snoRNA which contain C (UGAUGA) and D (CUGA) box motifs. The record is from Ensembl. NCBI's taxonomy places the organism in Eukaryota, Metazoa, Chordata, Actinopteri, Cichliformes, Cichlidae.